UCAGACGCUAGAGAGUAUGCACUGGUGUACUGAUACACACUCAACUAGAGGUUCUCGAGCAGACAGCCGCUGUUCCCCUAGGCAAGGGGCAAGAGGGAGAUACAGAGAUGAGGAAGGCAUGGACUGACCACCAUCUGGGCAGGGAAACAAUGAGCAUCAUAAAUCAGAGGACAAUGUUACUUAAGAUGUUUUCCCAACUCAAGUCACCUAAUCCAUUCAGAACUAUGCAAGGUACAAAAUGGAUGCUCAGGAAAGAUGCCUUAAAUACAACUAGAUCAACUCUCCUCAUCGAGAGUCACUGCUUCUCCAUUGCUUUAACUGCACGCUGAGGACAGUCACCCUCUUCAGAACAGCCCUCAUGAAGAGCCAAAUGGGAGCAGAGGAAGCAGCCCUGAAUCGGGCAUCAGUUUCAGUCCUGGAUCUUCAUUAAGCUUUGUGAAUUUACAGAGAAUAUUUAAUACCUUAUGGCAUUAUUCCUCACUUGGGAAAUAAAUGAGUCAGAUAGGUUGCUGUACAGAAAAUGAAAAAUGCUUUUGUUUUAAAUAACUUGUAUGACAGACGACCUAGC
Neomonachus schauinslandi (Hawaiian monk seal) is the source of this 568-nucleotide long non-coding RNA. RefSeq lists it as uncharacterized. The record is from RefSeq and is a predicted model, not a curated record. Lineage: Eukaryota; Metazoa; Chordata; Mammalia; Carnivora; Phocidae. The transcript is spliced from 3 exons.